UACUAUAAACAGACCAAACUCAUCUUGUCUCCUCUUAUUAUCUUUGGUUGAUGCGAAAAAAACAAGCAUGGCGGCGCGCAAAAACUACCCAACGUCGGAUCACUUUCGAUUUCUAGAAAGUGUUUUACUCAAGUAUUUCGAUCAAUGGCCGAGCCGAUGACCCGUGUUUCAAGAUGGCUGCUACCUACAUUCCAGUUAGCGUUGUGAAGCUACCGUUAUUGAUCAUUAGACCAGACCACACAACAUUUUCACCAAACAGCAAACAUCUUACAAGUUUUUCCGGUUUUGACCAUUCUGCCCACCCUGACCCUGAG
Salvelinus sp. IW2-2015 is the source of this 314-nucleotide non-coding RNA. The record is from RefSeq and is a predicted model, not a curated record. NCBI's taxonomy places the organism in Eukaryota, Metazoa, Chordata, Actinopteri, Salmoniformes, Salmonidae.